RNAcentral lists this ribosomal RNA (460 nucleotides) under uncultured bacterium. RNAcentral's name for it is "partial 16S ribosomal RNA". It matches the Rfam family "Bacterial small subunit ribosomal RNA", at positions 338 to 795 of the family's 1533-position model. The record is from RNAcentral.
CCUACGGGGGGCUGCAGUGAGGAAUAUUGGUCAAUGGACGCGAGUCUGAACCAGCCAAGUCGCGUGAAGGAUGACUGCCCUAUGGGUUGUAAACUUCUUUUAUAUGGGAAUAAAACGUUCCACGUGUGUGAUUUUGUAUGUACCAUAUGAAUAAGGAUCGGCUAACUCCGUGCCAGCAGCCGCGGUAAUACGGAGGAUCCGAGCGUUAUCCGGAUUUAUUGGGUUUAACGGGUGCGUAGGUGGAUUGUUAAGUCAGAUGUGAAAGUUUGAGGCUCAACCGUAAAAUUGCAGUUGAAACUGGCAGUCUUGAGUACAGGAGAGGUAGGCGGGAUUCGUGGUGUAGCGGUGAAAUGCUUAGAUAUCACGAAGAACUCCGAUUGCGAAGGCAGUUCACUGGACUGCAACUGACACUGAGGCUCGAAAGUGUGGGUAUCAAACAGGAUUAGAUACCCCAGUAGUC